This 29-nucleotide non-coding RNA is filed under the name Mus musculus (house mouse). Lineage: Eukaryota; Metazoa; Chordata; Mammalia; Rodentia; Muridae. The record is from RNAcentral.
UGGAAACAUAGAGGCUCUUAUGGAAAUCC